UACGUAGGGAGCAAGCGUUGGCCGGAAUCAUUGGGCGUAAAGCGCGCGUAGGCGGCCUUGUAAGUCCGUUGUGAAAGUCAAAGGCUCAACCUUUGAAAGCCGAUGGAUACUGCAGGGCUAGAGUCCGGAAGAGGCGAGUGGAAUUCCUGGUGUAGCGGUGGAAUGCGCAGAUAUCAGGAGGAACACCAAUAGCGAAGGCAGCUCGCUGGGACGGUACUGACGCUAAGGCGCGAAAGCGUGGGGAGCGAACAGG
RNAcentral lists this ribosomal RNA (253 nucleotides) under uncultured bacterium. RNAcentral describes it as "partial 16S ribosomal RNA". It matches the Rfam family "Bacterial small subunit ribosomal RNA", at positions 524 to 776 of the family's 1533-position model. The record is from RNAcentral.